Molecule: microRNA, 21 nt
Filed under: Bos taurus (domestic cattle)
Lineage: Eukaryota; Metazoa; Chordata; Mammalia; Artiodactyla; Bovidae
Description: Bta-Mir-506-P4_5p (mature (guide))
Source: RNAcentral
UACUUAGGAAGGCGUUAUUCA